UACCUCUGGUGUCUCCUCAUUUGCGGAUAAAUCUUUUGCCUUUUACUAAAGAUUUCCGUGGGGAGGCACAAUACAAUGAGUCUUGUCUCAUUUUUUUCAGCUCUGUCUUCCGACGGAGU
This 119-nucleotide small nuclear RNA is filed under the name Trichobilharzia regenti. Its description in RNAcentral is "U5 spliceosomal RNA". It matches the Rfam family "U5 spliceosomal RNA". Rfam says of the family: U5 RNA is a component of both types of known spliceosome. The precise function of this molecule is unknown, though it is known that the 5' loop is required for splice site selection and p220 binding, and that both the 3' stem-loop and the Sm site are important for Sm protein binding and cap methylation. The record is from Rfam by way of RNAcentral. Lineage: Eukaryota; Metazoa; Platyhelminthes; Trematoda; Strigeidida; Schistosomatidae.